Molecule: ribosomal RNA, 464 nt
Filed under: uncultured bacterium
Lineage: Bacteria
Description: bacterial SSU rRNA
Rfam family: Bacterial small subunit ribosomal RNA
Source: RNAcentral
CUACGGAGGCAGCAGUAAGGAAUAUUGGACAAUGGGCGCAAGCCUGAUCCAGCCAUGCCGCGUGUGUGAAGAAGGCCUUCGGGUUGUAAAGCACUUUCGGACGGAACGAAAUCGCGCGCAUGAAUAUUGCGCGUGGAUGACGGUACCGUAAGAAGAAGCACCGGCUAACUACGUGCCAGCAGCCGCGGUAUUACGUAGGGUGCAAGCGUUAAUCGGAAUUACUGGGCGUAAAGGGUGCGCAGGCGGCCCCGCAUGUCAGGCGUGAAAUCCCCGAGCUCAACUUGGGAAUGGCGUCUGAAACUACGGGGCUGGAGUGUGGCAGAGGGAGGUGGAAUUCCAGGUGUAGCGGUGAAAUGCGUAGAGAUCUGGAGGGACACCGAUGGCGAAGGCAGCCUCCUGGGCCAACACUGACGCUCAUGCACGAAAGCGUGGGGAGCAAACAGGAUUAGAAACCCCAGUAGUCC